Molecule: unclassified non-coding RNA, 342 nt
Filed under: soil metagenome
Description: partial contains 5.8S ribosomal RNA, internal transcribed spacer 2, and large subunit ribosomal RNA
Rfam family: 5.8S ribosomal RNA (bases 1-119)
Source: RNAcentral
GAUGAAGAACGUAGCGAAAUGCGAUAAGUAAUGCGAAUUGCAGAAUCCGUGAAUCAUCGAAUCUUUGAACGCACAUUGCGCCCGCCAGCAUUCUGGCGGGCAUGCCUGUUCGAGCGUCAUUUCAACCCUCGAGCCCCCCCGGGGGCCUCGGUGUUGGGGGACGGCACACCAGCCGCCCCCGAAAUGCAGUGGCGACCCCGCCGCAGCCUCCCCUGCGUAGUAGCACACACCUCGCACCGGAGCGCGGAGGCGGUCACGCCGUAAAACGCCCAACUUUCUUAGAGUUGACCUCGGAUCAGGUAGGAAUACCCGCUGAACUUAAGCAUAUCAAUAAGCGGAGGA